Molecule: ribosomal RNA, 468 nt
Filed under: uncultured bacterium
Lineage: Bacteria
Description: partial 16S ribosomal RNA
Rfam family: Bacterial small subunit ribosomal RNA
Source: RNAcentral
GACGAACGCCGGCGGCGUGCUUAACACAUGCAAGUCGAACGGAAAGGCCCUGCUUUUGUGGGGUGCUCGAGUGGCGAACGGGUGAGUAACACGUGAGUAACCUGCCCUUGAUUUUGGGAUAACUUCAGGAAACUGGGGCUAAUACCGGAUAGGAGCUCCUGCUGCAUGGUGGGGGUUGGAAAGUUUCGGCGGUUGGGGAUGGACUCGCGGCUUAUCAGCUUGUUGGUGGGGUAGUGGCUUACCAAGGCUUUGACGGGUAGCCGGCCUGAGAGGGUGACCGGCCACAUUGGGACUGAGAUACGGCCCAGACUCCUACGGGAGGCAGCAGUGGGGAAUAUUGCACAAUGGGCGGAAGCCUGAUGCAGCAACGCCGCGUGCGGGAUGACGGCCUUCGGGUUGUAAACCGCUUUCGCCUGUGACGAAGCGUGAGUGACGGUAAUGGGUAAAGAAGCACCGGCUAACUACGUG